UGCCCCAUGGCUAAGUUGGUCAAAGCGUCCGACUGUUAAUCGGAAGGUCCUGAGUUCGAGCCUCAGUGGGGCAG
Molecule: non-coding RNA, 74 nt
Organism: Trametopsis cervina
Lineage: Eukaryota; Fungi; Basidiomycota; Agaricomycetes; Polyporales; Irpicaceae
Source: the annotation of a GenBank genome assembly